GAUGAACGCUGGCGGCGUGCCUAAUACAUGCAAGUCGAGCGAACGCACGAGAAGUUUUCUCCUUUGAUGUUAGCGGCGGACGGGUGAGUAACACGUGGGUAACCUACCUAUAAUACUGGGAUAACUUCGGGAACCCGGAGCUAACACCUGAUAAUAUUUUUAACCUCAUGGUUCAAAAUUGAAACACGGUCCUGCUCUCACUUAUAGAUGGAUCCGCGCUGCUUUAGCUACUUGGGAAGGUAACGGCACACCAAGGCCACGAUGCAUAGCCGACCUGAGAGGGGGGUAAGCCACACUAGAACUGAGACAAGGUCCAGACCCCUACGGGAGGCAGCAGAAGGGAAUCUACCGCAAUGGGCGAAAGCCUGGCGGAGCAACGCCGAGUGAGUGAUGAAGGGCUUCGGAUCGGAGAUCUCUGUUAUUAGGGAAGAACAUAUGUGUAAGUAACUGGGCACAUCUUGAAGGUACCUAAUCAGAAAGCCACGGCUAACUACGUG
This 497-nucleotide ribosomal RNA is filed under the name uncultured bacterium. Its description in RNAcentral is "partial 16S ribosomal RNA". It matches the Rfam family "Bacterial small subunit ribosomal RNA", at positions 28 to 507 of the family's 1533-position model. The record is from RNAcentral.